UACUUUGCUUUGAUAAAGAGGAGUAAGUAAAUAGUACUAUACAGAGAGAAGAUCCUAGGCUGAGAGGUCUUAAGUUAAAUAUUUACUGAAGGUAGCUUUUGAGCAUUCAAGCUGAAACUAAGUAAGCUUGAAGGGUUAAACCCUUAUAUUUAUUUAAGAGCUAUGGAAAUAUCCAUGGAAUUAAGGUGGUACCGCGAAUUACCCUUCGUCCUUUAU
RNAcentral lists this non-coding RNA (216 nucleotides) under Tissierella praeacuta. Its description in RNAcentral is "T-box sequence". It matches the Rfam family "T-box leader". From Rfam's summary of the family: Uncharged tRNA acts as the effector for transcription antitermination of genes in the T-box leader family. T-boxes are found upstream of many aminoacyl-tRNA synthetase genes and some amino acid biosynthetic genes usually in Gram-positive bacteria. The anticodon of a specific tRNA base pairs to a specifier sequence within the T-box motif, and the NCCA acceptor tail of the tRNA base pairs to a conserved bulge in the T-box antiterminator hairpin. Lineage: Bacteria; Bacillati; Bacillota; Tissierellia; Tissierellales; Tissierellaceae. The record is from RNAcentral.